UGCGCCCGGCGCCAGUCACGCGCCCAGCCUCGCCCCGAGCCAGCCGCCGGGGUGCGGCGCCGCCCUGCGCCCGAGCCGGAGGAGCCGGGUGCGCAGACUGCGGGGCCUCGCGGGCAGUUUUACAGAUGCCUUAUGUGGGAGACCAUGAGUAACCACAUGCCAUAAAAAGAGUUUCAAGGCUCCUAGAGAAUAACUGGAAACUGCCCAAGGUUCCUAAGGAAAAGCUUUCUGGGGAAAUGAAGAAGCUGAAGCCCUGAGAGUGGGUUUAUGCUGAUUUCUCAAGACCCCAAUCCCUUUCCACUAUGUCGCAUAAAUAAAAGGGAGGAAAAGCAA
Molecule: long non-coding RNA, 333 nt
Organism: Mesocricetus auratus (golden hamster)
Lineage: Eukaryota; Metazoa; Chordata; Mammalia; Rodentia; Cricetidae
Exons: 3
Source: RefSeq, a predicted model, not a curated record